RNAcentral lists this unclassified non-coding RNA (257 nucleotides) under Hevea brasiliensis (rubber tree). The record is from RNAcentral. Lineage: Eukaryota; Viridiplantae; Streptophyta; Magnoliopsida; Malpighiales; Euphorbiaceae.
CAAAUUUUCACUCCCCUGAUGGAUAGCAGUGCAUAUAAAUCUGAAGUCGUCACAAUAGUAUAUUGAAACCAGUUAUCUGACACUAAACAGUUCCAUGGGUAAAAACUAACACAAAUUAUAAGGUAUCUUAACCUUAUCCUUCAAUAGGGAGGAGUAUAAAAUAAAGUUAACAGACCAUUUUCAAACCAAAUAUUAAAGCACAGUUAUUGAUCAAACCUGUCUACAUUCUCAAUACAAUGGGGUCAUUGGAAGAACAU